UGAAUGGGAGUGAAUAGGGCAUGUCGAUUGAGCGCACAAAAUCUCUAUUUUUACAACACUAAGGAGGCUCGACACAACGUGAUACUUUACUCGAAGUAUCACGUGGGUCUCUACACAUGAACGCGAGCAUUGAGAACAUUGUUUGUGUACACAGAUUUUAGUAAAAGCGAAAAGUUUGGAACAACUUACCGUGCUGUUAAACUGCGUCCCGCCGCCAUAUUGCCAGUCAUGAGCAAUCGAUUUCAGAAUGCGAUUGAAUGGACUCCAUAGGACGCUACUUUUCAACUACAGGGUCAAUAUUGUUUUUCACUUGAGACAAAACAACAAAUUAUCCGUGCAUUUAUAUGGAACUAUGCUUUAGGAGCUAUCCAUCUUUACUCUCCUUCCUCCUUAUGUCGCAUUCUGAGAUCGAUUUCUCAUGACUGGCAAGAUGGCGGCGGGACGCAGUUUAACAGCACGGUCCUCCUCAUCCAGUGAGAGGCUGCUGUCUGAAUCCGUCGCCGUCUGAGAGCCCUGACUGGACUCGCUGUCUCCGAAACGAUUCGUGGUGUAGUCGCUCAUCUCACCAUCGCUGCUCGCCGCAAUAGUGGAGUGAAAGAGAGAUGCACAUUCGGCAGAGUAUUCAGAAAACUCGGAUUCACAGCGAGGAUGGUAGCGACCGGAGUUUGGAGCAGCUGGAUAUCUAGAUUCCAAGUAACUGAGAUUUGGUUUUCUUGUCUGCCUGACGCACCUUCUCCCUUUGGGACCCUGCAGGAACAAACUCUGCACGGACAAACUCUUCUGACUGAGGUGAGGAGCCAAAAGUCCUGUCUUCCUCUCGUCUGA
This is a long non-coding RNA of Paramisgurnus dabryanus, 825 nucleotides long. RefSeq lists it as uncharacterized. The record is from RefSeq and is a predicted model, not a curated record. NCBI's taxonomy places the organism in Eukaryota, Metazoa, Chordata, Actinopteri, Cypriniformes, Cobitidae.